CGGUCCAAACUCCUACGGGAGGCAGCAGUGGGGAAUAUUGCACAAUGGGCGAAAGCCUGAUGCAGCAACGCCGCGUGAGUGAUGAAGGCCUUCGGGUCGUAAAACUCUGUCCUCAAGGAAGAUAAUGACGGUACUUGAGGAGGAAGCACCGGCUAACUACGUGCCAGCAGCCGCGGUAAUACGUAGGGGGCUAGCGUUAUCCGGAUUUACUGGGCGUAAAGGGUGCGUAGGCGGUCUUUCAAGUCAGGAGUGAAAGGCUACGGCUCAACCGUAGUAAGCUCUUGAAACUGGAG
This 293-nucleotide ribosomal RNA is filed under the name Clostridioides difficile. Its description in RNAcentral is "partial 16S ribosomal RNA". It matches the Rfam family "Bacterial small subunit ribosomal RNA", at positions 327 to 638 of the family's 1533-position model. Lineage: Bacteria; Bacillati; Bacillota; Clostridia; Peptostreptococcales; Peptostreptococcaceae. The record is from RNAcentral.